AGAGUUUGAUCAUGGCUCAGAACGAACGCUGGCGGCAGGCUUAAGACAUGCAAGUCGAACGCCCUCUUCGGAGGGAGUGGCAGACGGGUGAGUAACGCGUGGGAACAUGCCCCAAGAUACGGAACAACUUCGGGAAACUGAAGCUAAUACCGUAUGUGACCGAGAGGUGAAAGAUUUAUCGCCUUGGGAUUGGCCCGCGUAAGAUUAGCUUGUUGGUGGGGUAAUGGCCUACCAAGGCGACGAUCUUUAGCUGGUCUGAGAGGGAUGAUCAGCCACACUGGGACUGAGACACGGCCCAGACUCCUACGGGAGGCAGCAGUCGGGAAUCUUGGACAAUGGGCGCAAGCCUGAUCCAGCCAUGCCGCGUGAAUGAUGAAGGCCUUAGGGUUAUAAAAUUCUUUCGUCGGGGACGAUAAUGACGGUACCCGAAGAAGAAGCUCCGGCUAACUUCGUGCCAGCAGCCGCGGUAAUACGAAGGGGGCUAGCGUUGUUCGGAAUUACUGGGCGUAAAGCGCGUGUAGGCGGACCGUUAAGUCGGGGGUGAAAGCCCAGAGCUCAACUCUGGAACUGCCUUCGAUACUGGCGAUCUGGACCCAAGUAGAGGCGAGUGGAAUUACGAGUGUAGAGGUGAAAUUCGUAGAUAUUCGUAGGAACACCAGUGGCGAAGGCGACUCGCUGGACUUGUGGUGACGCUGAGACGCGAAAGCGUGGGGAGCAAACAGGAUUAGAUACCCUAGUAGUCC
Molecule: ribosomal RNA, 743 nt
Filed under: uncultured bacterium
Lineage: Bacteria
Description: bacterial SSU rRNA
Rfam family: Bacterial small subunit ribosomal RNA
Source: RNAcentral